This is a long non-coding RNA of Eptesicus fuscus (big brown bat), 156 nucleotides long. RefSeq lists it as uncharacterized. NCBI's taxonomy places the organism in Eukaryota, Metazoa, Chordata, Mammalia, Chiroptera, Vespertilionidae. The record is from RefSeq and is a predicted model, not a curated record. The transcript has 3 exons.
UUUGUUCUAGAGUUUGCGAUAUACAACUUCACAAAUAUUAAACUGCCUGAUUGCCAGAGAGUUCCACUUUCUGCUACUCCAUGUUAAAGCUAUUACAGUCUCUGCCUCAGGGAGGGUAGCCUGCUGUAGGAUUGAUUACUGCCCCUAAGGAAAAGG